AUGGAUGAGGAGAAAUAAUAACCUCACUCAAUCAGUCUAAUUUCAGCUGAUUCACUUAUCACUAAAAUCUAUAUAAUGGAACAUCUUGUUGACCAUCGUCUAUCUAUUUUUAAUACAAUUUUAAAGUUUUUUCUACUCUCUGUGGACAGUAAAAUGCCCACAGAGAAUUUAAACAACAGAAUGUCACUGAAAUGCUAAAAUUGCUUCUAACCUACCUGUACAACUUGUUAUUUAAAUUCUCCUACAUGCUAUUGCUAUGCAAUGUUAACUAUUCCCUCAGUCCCAAAUGAAAUGCCACCGUUCAGGCCCCUCUAUUUCUUAAACUUAUUUAUAUUCAUGUAAUCAUGUUUCAAGAAUUCAUACACAUUAUACUAUAGUAAAAUAUUUUUUCUUGAAUAAUUUCGAAGUUUUAAUAGCACCUUAAAUUUCUCUUGUGCACAACUCAAAGGGCAAGUACUCCCAAAAAUUUUGGACAAUAAAUCUUAGUCCUAAAAACUAUAGCUACUACUUAUUUCACCAAAUUUAGCUGAAAACUGCAUGACCGAUUAAUUGAUGUGUUCAUGAUUUCUUGCAACAGUAAUAAUUUGUGCAUCCCCAUCUGAGAAGCAUAAAUAUAGGAAGAACUGAGUAAUUUUCCACCAAAAUAACAGGAGUUCUAAGGACUUAUGCCGAAAUAACGUUUUGAGAUACGUAGGCAAGAAAAUUGGAACAAGAAAAUAAGAAAUAAAGAAUUAAUUUGCUAUUUUCAAAAUAAAGAAUAUCUUUUUGAAAAGGUAAAGUUGCUGAUAAAAUAGAAUUUCACCAAAUUCCAUAUCUCCCUUAAUUGUCAAGCUAAAACUCCCUCUGACAUGACAGACAGCAGAGCACAACAGAGGGAUCGGCAAAUAAUAAUAAUUUCUGUUGUUACAGACAUUUCAAAUCUUUCAGAUUCAGUGUAGUAGCCAAAUAUUCCUAGGACCUCCUAAGAUAUGUAAUUAGCUACCUGUGUGGUCUCUGUCAGAUCUGUGUUUCGGUUCUUUGGUUAAAAUAAAUACAAAACUUCUCAUACAUUUUCUACACAUUUUCAGAAGAAGCUUCAGUUUUCCAGUUUAUUCAGUAUAAUGCCAAAAAGUCUAAACAAUAUUUAGAGAGAUGAGUUAUUGGGACUGAUCCAGCUUAACACUGAAACACUAAAAGUCAUGGAACAGCAGGGUAAGAAUCACAGAAUAACAGAAUGGUUUGGGUUGGAAAGGAUCUUAAAGAUCAUCUAGUUCCAAUCCCCUCCUGCCAGGAACACUUUUGACUAGACUAAGUUCCUCAAAGUCCUAUCCAGCCUGACCUUGAACACUUCCUGGAUGGGGCAUCCACAACCACUCUGGGCAACCUGUUCCAGUGUCAUACCACCUCAUAGUGAAGAAUUUCUUUCAAUACCUAAUCUAAACCUACCCUCUUCCAGUUUAAAAGAAAAAAAGAAAUCUGAAGAAAUCACUCCUGGUGGUAACAUCUGACCUCUUCAUCCAAAAAGCAGCCUCCAUCUACUUCAAGAAGGUGCGAUGUGUCCAGGCUCAGAGGGCCCCCUCAAGUGCACUGUUCCUGCAGCCAGAAGUCUCAAUGCUGCACAGUCUGCAAUGCCAGAGAGACUCAGCUUUGGUCCCACCUCUGAAAUACUUCAUGCUGGACAGGCCCUCCCAAAGCAGUGGCCACACGAGAGAGGGAGAGAGAGAGAGAGCUACAAGUCCCAAGAGACCAGAGACUGAAGAAUCUGAAUUGUCAAAUACAGUGUUUGAUCCCAACAUUUAUUUAUCUGGUUAGUUUCACUAGGAGGCCUAUGGAGGCUUCUACACUUCUAUUUUGGGGGCGAGGGAAUGAAAUGGAGAUCGAAAAGUAGAAAGGGUUUGGUAGAAACAAGGAGACUGCCAUCUAAAUUCACGUCCUUCUUCUUUAUGUAAGAAGAAAUGAAAUGAGGAAGAAAUGCCCCAGAUGCUGCCUAUUUUCAGCGAGUCAACUCUGCUUCAUCUUCCUCUCCCAGAGCAAAAGAGAAGCAGAUUUUGUAACAAUUCCAACUUUGACAUUUUGGUCUUAAGUCAACGAGACAUUUAAAUACCUGCUUUGUGAACAGAACUAUAUUGCUGGUUCCUCAGAACUCUGACUUGAAUUUUAGAACCUCUUUUCUAACAACAAAAUAAAUAAGAAAGAUACAUAAUAUUCAGGAAGGUGGCAGGAUCCAAGAACAAAAUCUAAGUUCCCUUCUGCUGCAGUAAAUAUCUGAUAGGUUCAGAGUGUGCAGUUGGUGUAUGCAACAUCAGUGAUUUAACACUGCUGCAAGGAAAGAGUCAUCCUUGGUGCUGUGCUCAUGGCAGUAAGUAUAAAACCAUCCCCUUCCUACCUGGUCAAGGAAUUCAGAUGUGUAAAUGCCAGAUGGAGUCUUCUGUAGAGAACAAGUUCCUUCCUAGCUCAAAUUUAACUUUAUUCCUUGUCUUUAUUUUGAUGCAAACACAUUGUAUUCUCCCUUCAUUUUCCUAUGAUGAUUUAAAGUGAAGGCAUCAAUCUGAUUGAAAACGCAACUUGCAGUAUUUCCUAUUCCACACUGGGAAAGAUGAAAGCUCUUAACUUCUUGAAGGCAUCUCUCAAAUAUAAUUAAUAAACCUAUUCUGGCCAGGACAGCAAGAUUUAAUCUCCAAGUACCAAAGGUCAGUUUACAGCAGGUGAAGAAUGGAGAUAAGGAGACAGGACUGUCGACUGCAAAGGCAGUUUGUGAGAAAAAAUAGCUGGAUAAAAUAUAAAGGAGUGCAAAUAUAUGAAUGGAAAAACACUUUUUAUGCCAAAUAUCCAUCAUUUUGAAUGGCUACAAGAAUCUGCAAUUUUGUGUGGGGAAAAAAAACCCCAUGUAUAACCUUGACCCUAAUGUUGAGCUCAAGUUAUUGCACCUGCAUGAUUUUCCCCAAACAAAUCCAUCAUCUGCCCUGCUGGAGCACAUUGCUGCACAAUGCCCAGAAGCACAGUGGAUUGCCAAGAAGAGUUAUUAAAACAAAGGUUCCCAGGUUUUGUUUUUGUUUUUUACUAUUAUUGGUGGUUUUUUACAUUAUAGAAGAUUUAGGAUCUCCCUUCACUCUUGAGCUAUAAGAGAAGGAGGCCACUGUAAGCCUCUCUGUGGAGAGAGAGAAGGGAUAACUGCAUGACACUUCCCUUGAGAACCAAAACCAUCAGUUGCAAUAACUGAAAGCCCUGGGAGCAUCUACAACUAACA
Pseudopipra pipra is the source of this 3226-nucleotide long non-coding RNA. RefSeq lists it as uncharacterized. Lineage: Eukaryota; Metazoa; Chordata; Aves; Passeriformes; Pipridae. The transcript has 3 exons. The record is from RefSeq and is a predicted model, not a curated record.